GACGAACGCUGGCGGCGUGCUUAACACAUGCAAGUCGAACGGAAAGGCCCUGCUUUUGUGGGGUGCUCGAGUGGCGAACGGGUGAGUAACACGUGAGUAACCUGCCCUUGACUUUGGGAAAACUUCAGGAAACUGGGGCUAAUACCGGAUAGGAGCUCCUGCGGCAUGUUGGGGGUUGGAAAGUUUCGGCGGUUGGGGAUGGACUCGCGGCUUAUCAGCUUGUUGGUGGGGUAGUGGCUUACCAAGGCGUUGACGCGUAGCCGGCCUGAGAGGGUGACCGGACACACUGGGACUGAGCUACGGCACAGACUCCUCCGGGAGGCAGCAGUGGGGAAUAUUACACUAUGGGCGGAAGCCUGAUGCAGCAACGCCGCGUGCGGGAUGACGGCCUUCGGGUUGUAAACCGCUUUCGCCUGUGACGAAGAGUGAGUGACGGUAAUGGGUAAAGAAGCAACGGCUAACUACGUG
Molecule: ribosomal RNA, 468 nt
Filed under: uncultured bacterium
Lineage: Bacteria
Description: partial 16S ribosomal RNA
Rfam family: Bacterial small subunit ribosomal RNA
Source: RNAcentral